GGGCUUGCCACUUGCCAGAGGUGAAGGAAUCGGAGGUGAAGGAGGUGGUGGGGCGUUGACCGGAGGUGCUCCCCAACGCCACCACCUGCACCGCCGUCAAAUCUCUUUUCCAACUUUGCUCCCUCCUCUCCCUUCUCGGUGACAACGGUCUUCCCCUCUCCACCCACUUCGCCACCAUGCACGCCGUCUGCUUCCUCUGCUCCUGCUCCAACGGCCAGCGCCCAGUGGACGGCGUCGCCGUGGUCCAUUAUGCCCAUGUGGUGGUGGUCGAGAGCUCGGUGGAGGGGAUCGCGGCAGAGUUCGAAAUAGAGCGCCAGAGCCGAAAGCAGCCAAGAGAGUUUCGAUCGAGCGAAGCCGAAGGUGGCAAGAGCGUAGUUGGGUGGAGAUGCGGUGAGGGCGAUUGGGCGG
Molecule: long non-coding RNA, 408 nt
Filed under: Elaeis guineensis (African oil palm)
Lineage: Eukaryota; Viridiplantae; Streptophyta; Magnoliopsida; Arecales; Arecaceae
Description: long non-coding RNA (EGUI_LNC074230)
Source: RNAcentral